GAUGAACGCUGGCGGCGUGCUUAACACAUGCAAGUCGAACGGAAAGGCCCUGCUUUUGUGGGGUGCUCGAGUGGCGAACGGGUGAGUAACACGUGAGUAACCUGCCCUUGACUUUGGGAUAACUUCAGGAAACUGGGGCUAAUACCGGAUAGGAGCUCCUGCUGCAUGGUGGGGGUUGGAAAGUUUCGGCGGUUGGGGAUGGACUCGCGGCUUAUCAGCUUGUUGGUGGGGUAGUGGCUUACCAAGGCUUUGACGGGUAGCCGGCCUGAGAGGGUGACCGGCCACAUUGGGACUGAGAUACGGCCCAGACUCCUACGGGAGGCAGCAGUGGGGAAUAUUGCACAAUGGGCGGAAGCCUGAUGCAGCAACGCCGCGUGCGGGAUGACGGCCUUCGGGUUGUAAACCGCUUUCGCCUGUGACGAAGCGUGCGUGACGGUAAUGGGUAAAGAAGCACCGGCUAACUACGUG
RNAcentral lists this ribosomal RNA (468 nucleotides) under uncultured bacterium. RNAcentral describes it as "partial 16S ribosomal RNA". It matches the Rfam family "Bacterial small subunit ribosomal RNA", at positions 28 to 507 of the family's 1533-position model. The record is from RNAcentral.